AUUGAACGCUGGCGGCAUGCUUUACACAUGCAAGUCGAACGGUAACAGGCCGCAAGGUGCUGACGAGUGGCGAACGGGUGAGUAAUGCAUCGGAACGUGCCCAGUCGUGGGGGAUAACUACUCGAAAGAGUAGCUAAUACCGCAUACGAUCUAUGGAUGAAAGCGGGGGACCGUAAGGCCCCGCGCGAUUGGAGCGGCCGAUGUCAGAUUAGGUAGUUGGUGGGGUAAAGGCUCACCAAGCCAACGAUCUGUAGCUGGUCUGAGAGGACGACCAGCCACACUGGGACUGAGACACGGCCCAGACUCCUACGGGAGGCAGCAGUGGGGAAUUUUGGACAAUGGGCGCAAGCCUGAUCCAGCAAUGCCGCGUGCAGGAAGAGGGCCUUCGGGUUGUAAACUGCUUUUGUACGGAACGAAACGGCUCUGGUUAAUACCCGGGGCUAAUGACGGUACCGUAAGAAUAAGCACCGGCUAACUACGUG
RNAcentral lists this ribosomal RNA (482 nucleotides) under uncultured bacterium. RNAcentral's name for it is "partial 16S ribosomal RNA". It matches the Rfam family "Bacterial small subunit ribosomal RNA", at positions 30 to 507 of the family's 1533-position model. The record is from RNAcentral.